GACGAACGCUGGCGGCGUGCUUAACACAUGCAAGUCGAACGGAAAGGCCCUUCGGGGUACUCGAGUGGCGAACGGGUGAGUAACACGUGGGUGAUCUGCCCUGCACUUUGGGAUAAGCCUGGGAAACUGGGUCUAAUACCGAAUAGGACCACGCGCUUCAUGGUGUGUGGUGGAAAGCUUUUGCGGUGUGGGAUGGGCCCGCGGCCUAUCAGCUUGUUGGUGGGGUAAUGGCCUACCAAGGCGACGACGGGUAGCCGGCCUGAGAGGGUGACCGGCCACACUGGGACUGAGAUACGGCCCAGAGGCGUACGGGAGGCAGCAGUGGGGAAUAGUGCAGAAGGGGCGCAAGCCUGAUGCAGCGACGCCGCGUGAGGGAUGACGGCCGUCGGGUUGUAAGCCGCUUUCAAUAGGGACGAAGCGCAAGUGACGGUACCUAUAGAAGAAGCACCGGCCAACUACGUG
This 462-nucleotide ribosomal RNA is filed under the name uncultured bacterium. Its description in RNAcentral is "partial 16S ribosomal RNA". It matches the Rfam family "Bacterial small subunit ribosomal RNA", at positions 28 to 507 of the family's 1533-position model. The record is from RNAcentral.